AGACAGGGUCUCUCUGUUCCCCAGGCUGGAGUGCAUUAGUGUGAUCUCAGCUUACUGCAACCUCCACCUCCUGGGCUCAAACAAUCCUCUAACCUUAGUCUCCAAAGUAGCUGGGCCUAUAGGCAUGCACCACCAUGUUCAGCGAAUUUUUUUAUUUUUUUGUAGAUACUGGGUUUCACCACAUUGCCCAGACUAGUCUUGAACUCCUGGACUCAAGGGAUCUGCUCACUUUGGCCUCCCAAAUUGAUGGGAUUACAGGCAUGAGCCACUGUACCCGGCCACCUUAUAAACUUUAAAAUCCAACCUAUUUCUUUAACAAGUCAUUUGAUUAAAGACAUUUUUAAAAAUUUAUGAAAAUAUUUUUUAGCUCAGGGUUUAGCAUCCAAAUGCUGGUUCGUGCUGCUAGGAAAACAUUUUCUUGUUGUGACAACCGAUAUGUGAUGUAGUUUUUCAGUAGCACUUUUUAGUAUUUUUAGGGGUGCUCAAAAUCAAAUCACGAACAGAAAUUGACAAUUGCUUUUCAGCUUUUCUCCUUUUAUGAAAAACAAUCUCUUUUUCUCAGGAAAGUUAAAGGUUUACAGAAGAGUUUGGGUUAUUAAUGUUUCCUCAUUCUACCUGGUAUAUGUUAAAACACACACACACACAUGCACAAUUUGAAAUUCUAUAAUAACAGUUAAUAUUGGAAUUUUUCAGAAUUUUCUCAGCAUUCAGCUAGAGUCUUUUCAUUUUGACCUACCAUUUCAGUAGAUCAACAGUGUUUUAAAUGCUGACAUUACAUCACUAAGUGCUGAGAUGUUUGAGAACUGUUUGCCCUCUUAGAAACCUAAUAAUAAAGUAAACUUUGAUUUUAGCUUUUACACUUCUAGCAUUUUCAUACCUUAAUAAUUUUGGUCUUCUUCAGUAAUUAAUCUUAAAAGAAAUUUUGAAGGCCUUGAAUUAAGAAACAUAUGUGCAUCCAUUACCUUACAAGACUUUUGAGGGGGCACUUCUAAAUUAUUUUUUUAUUUCUCUAAAUUAGAGGACAGAAGUAAAUUUAAGACAGGCACUGGACAUUCAGUGGAGAGUAAAUGUCAGCCAAUGCACACUAGGCCUAAACUGCAUCAACAGCUCAUUUUAAAAUGAAGAUAUGGCUAUGUUAUUUGUUAUAGGAAAAUAAGGAAUUUCUCUUGCUACUGUACCAGAAUCUUAGAGCAGGCACUGUCUAGGAUGAAUAUUUUUGUCUUCAGUUUUCCUUAUUUUUUACUGUCAGUUUCUUUUUUUUUUAACUUGUAAGUUCAAGGAUACAUGUGCAGGUUUGUUACAUAGGUAAACUUGUAUCAUGGGGGUUUGUUGUACAGAUUAUUCCAUCACCCAGGUAUUAAGCCUGGUACCCAUUAGUUAUUUUUCCUGAUCCUCUCCUUCCUGAUCUUUACCCUCCAAAAGGCCCAAGUGUGUGUUGCUCCCCUCUAUGUGUCCAUGUGUUCUCAUCAUUUAGCUCCCACUUAUAAGAGAGAAGAAACACUAUUUGGUUUACUGUCCCUGUGUUAGUUUGCUAAAGAUAAUGGCCUCCAGCUCCAUCCAUAUCCCUGCAAAGGACAUGAUCUCAUUCAUUUUAUGGCUGCAUAGUAUUCCAUGGUGUAUAUGUACCACAUUUUCUUUAUCCAGUCUAUCAUUGAUGGGCAUUUAGGCUGAUUCCAUAUCUUUGCUAUUGUGUAGUGCUGCAAUGAACAUACACAUGUGGAACAGAACAGAGAACCUGGAAAUAAGACCACACACCCAAAACUAUUUGCUCUUUGACAAACCUGACAAAAACAAGCAAUAGAGAAAGUACUUCCUGUUCAAAAAAUGGUGCUGGGAUAACUGGCUAGCCAUAUGCAGAAGAUUGAAACCCUUCCUUACACCAUAUGCAAUAAGUAAUUCAAGGUAGAUUAAAGACCUAAAUGUAAAACCUCAAACUGUAUAAAAACCCUGGGAGACAACCUAUACAAUACCUGUCAGUUUUAUCAAAUUACAGUAAUUUCCAGGCUGCAAGACUAAAAACGUUUUGAAAUUGCCAAGACCUUAUCACAAUACAAGACUAGUUUCAUAGUUUAUAUGUCACACAGAAAUGUUCUAUACUAUGAUGUUACAGCUUAGCUUCAUUCUUACCAAAUUUACUAGUACUGGUUAUUGGGGAUUCUGUGAAAUAGACAUAUAUUCGUGUAUAUGUUUCAUGGUGAAAUGUUUCAGGGUUUGGAUAUGUAAUGUUAUUUAAUGUGUUUUUCAUUAUGUGAUCAGCAUUACAUGGGGCACUUGAGACAGAAUCAGUCUCAUAGUCUAAGGACCUGGUUUUUAGCCUGUAUCCCUAGUAGGAGGUUGCAUGUACUUAGACAAGUGAUUUAAAUUGCUUGCACUGCAACUUUCUUAUCUUUGACAUAUGAGAUGUGCAAUUUUGGGCAAGUCACUAUCCUCUCUGGGCCUUCGUUUUUUGUCAUCUGUAAAAUAGGGAUAUAAUAUUACUUAUUAUAUAAUAUUUUAUUAUUUAGGGAUAUUAUUUACCCCUAAUAAAGUAGAGACAUAAUAUUACUUAUUAUAGGAUUGUUGGAAGUUAUGAGAGUUAAUGUCUCUAAACUGCAUAGAGCAAUGCCAGGCACAUAUACACUAUAAGCAUGUUACCCGCUAUUACCAUCUGUAAAAUGAGGUAGUUCUCUGGAUCAGUUCUGAAACUUCUUCUAGCUUUUAUAUCUUUAUUUAAUUGAAGGAUUAAAAAGACAAACUCAUAGUUUCAUAUUUUUGGUGGGAAAUCACAUCAAUUUGUUAGCUUGGCCCAAAUAUGAUUGUUAUGGUUCAUGUUGUUGCUUGCAGGGUCCACCAGGUGUCACAGACCUGUCCUGCACAGAGGAGGCACCUUCCCCUUGCUCUCUGACCACAAAAUGCUCCUUUUUUCAGGUUCAUGGGAAGAUUUUUAGGCAAAAAUUCCGUGGAGUCCUGCUCUCAGUACUCGACUUGACUGUCUUACAAGCCUCUUGUUGCCUCAAGCCCAAGGAAGUAACCUCAGGCUGAAAGGCUUUCUAGGGCUCUUUAACCUCAGAGUGGACACAAACUCAGAUGUCCAUCAAACAGCUAAGUCCAAGCUUUAAAUACUUUACACAGCUGAUUAGGAGUUUAGGGAACACAUAAUGCGUUUCGAAAUUUAAAAUUGGUGCAAGGUAAGAAUUAAUGAACUCUCAUCAGAAGUUUUUCUCCCAGGAGCUCUCUCCAGCCUACAGUCCACCAUAACCUGGAAAGUAUGGCUUUCCACAAGUGAACUUCUUUUAGCCUCCCUCCCAUACUGGGAUUUCAGAACCCCUUCUAAAGUCAAUGAGGUAGGAAAGAGGCAGCUGUCCCUAACACCUCCAGAAAACUGAGAUGAAGAAGAUGAGUCUCCAACUACAGCCUAGAGAUUGUUUCACAUUAUGGUAUGGAGUCAUUGACCACUUCUUCGUUUUCAGUCUGUAGGUUUCAGAAAAGAAUAUUUGCUUUAGUUUUGUGUAUUAAGAGGCUACUUGAAGUAUGUGUGUGCGUAUGUUUAAAAAAAUUACAAACUUGCAUUAAGGGAAAAUUCAAGUUCCCAUCUCCAAAUAAAAUUUGAAAACAAACAAACAAAAACAAAAUAAAAAUGUAAGGCAGC
Molecule: long non-coding RNA, 3628 nt
Filed under: Homo sapiens (human)
Lineage: Eukaryota; Metazoa; Chordata; Mammalia; Primates; Hominidae
Description: HSALNT0374590
Source: RNAcentral